RNAcentral lists this ribosomal RNA (517 nucleotides) under uncultured bacterium. RNAcentral describes it as "bacterial SSU rRNA". It matches the Rfam family "Bacterial small subunit ribosomal RNA", at positions 19 to 518 of the family's 1533-position model. The record is from RNAcentral.
CUGGCUCAGGAUGAACGCUGGCGGCGUGCUUAACACAUGCAAGUCGAACGAAGCACCUCUAAUCGAAGAUUGAGAAGCUUGCUUUGAUUGAUUCACCUUGAGGUGACUGAGUGGCGGACGGGUGAGUAACGCGUGGGUAACCUACCCUAUACAGGGGGAUAACAGUUGGAAACGACUGCUAAUACCGCAUAAGCGCACGGGACCGCAUGGUCUAGUGUGAAAAACUCCGGUGGUAUAGGAUGGACCCGCGUCUGAUUAGCUAGUUGGUGAGGUAACGGCUCACCAAGGCGACGAUCAGUAGCCGACCUGAGAGGGUGACCGGCCACAUUGGGACUGAGACACGGCCCAAACUCCUACGGGAGGCAGCAGUGGGGAAUAUUGCACAAUGGGCGAAAGCCUGAUGCCAGCGACGCCGCGUGAACGAAGAAGCAUUUCGGUAUGUAAAGUUCUAUCAGCAGGGAAGAAAAAUGACGGUACCUGACUAAGAAGCUCCGGCUAAAUACGUGCCAGCAGCCGC